Molecule: ribosomal RNA, 253 nt
Filed under: uncultured bacterium
Lineage: Bacteria
Description: partial 16S ribosomal RNA
Rfam family: Bacterial small subunit ribosomal RNA
Source: RNAcentral
UACGUAGGGCGCAAGCGUUGUCCGGAAUUAUUGGGCGUAAAGAGCUCGUAGGCGGCUCGUCACGUCGGGUGUGAAAGCCCGGGGCUUAACCCCGGGUCUGCAUUCGAUACGGGCUAGCUAGAGUGUGGUAGGGGAGAUCGGAAUUCCUGGUGUAGCGGUGAAAUGCGCAGAUAUCAGGAGGAACACCGGUGGCGAAGGCGGCAUCCUGGACCGACACUGACACUGAGGAGCGAAAGCGUGGGGAGCGAACAGG